UGGGGAAUAUUGCGCAAUGGACGAAAGUCUGACGCAGCGACGCCUCGUGAGGGACGAAGGUCUUCGGAUUGUAAACCUCUUUCAGCAGGGACGAAGCGACAGUGACGGUACCUGCAGAAGAAGCACCGGCUAACUAUGUGCCAGCAGCCGCGGCAAUACAUAGGGUGCAAGCGUUGUCCGGAAUUAUUGGGCGUAAAGAGCUCGUAGGUGGUUAGUUACGUCGGAUGUGUAAAUCAGGGGCUCAACCCC
This 249-nucleotide ribosomal RNA is filed under the name uncultured Actinomycetales bacterium. Its description in RNAcentral is "partial 16S ribosomal RNA". It matches the Rfam family "Bacterial small subunit ribosomal RNA", at positions 355 to 616 of the family's 1533-position model. Lineage: Bacteria; Bacillati; Actinomycetota; Actinomycetes; Actinomycetales. The record is from RNAcentral.